GGAAAAAGUAGUACUGUUGAAACACCAUUUGUGCAAGGACCUUCAGGCAAGGUCACUGUUGAGCUGGAUUUUGAAGUAAGUUUAGUCCCCUUCUAUAUCUCCUUCUAUAUGAAAUCACAACUAGUUUCUGACAUGGAAAACUCAGAAAUCAGAAGCCACAGGAACACGAAUUUUGUUGUACCGGUUGGUCUCAGUUCAGGGCAUCCUGCUCCAUUAGGUAUUUCCUUUCAGCCAGCUGGAUACGUGAAUUUUGCUCUCUACUCACGCAGUGCAAAAGGUGUAGUUUUGUGCUUGUAUGAUGACAUAUCAGUUGAAAAACCUUCUUUAGAAAUUGAUCUAGAUCCUUAUAUUAAUCAAUCAGGUGAUAUUUGGCAUGCUGCUUUAGAUUGUUCUUUGCCAUUUAAGACUUAUGGUUAUAGAUUUAAGGCGGCUACUUCUGGGAAGGGAGAGCUGGUUCUUUUGGACCCAUAUG
Molecule: unclassified non-coding RNA, 472 nt
Filed under: Hevea brasiliensis (rubber tree)
Lineage: Eukaryota; Viridiplantae; Streptophyta; Magnoliopsida; Malpighiales; Euphorbiaceae
Source: RNAcentral